UCGCAAAGAUGUAAAAAUAUCAUUCCUCUAUGUUCAUAUACCCUCAUGUUAUUUUACAGGCCGGUCACACAGCUCGCUGCCCCUAAAAUCCCUGAGGGGGAGAGGGUUGACUUUGAUGACAUCCACAGGAAAAGGAUGGAGAAAGAUCUUCUGGAGCUGCAGACUCUGAUUGACGUCCAUUUUGAGCAGAGGAAGAAAGAGGAGGAGGAGCUGAUUGGACUCAAAGACAGGAUUGAAAGCCGCCGGGCAGAAAGAGCUGAGCAGCAGCGUGUGAGGGCUGAAAAAGAACGGGACAGACAGACACGCAUUGCGGAGGAGAGACAGAGAAAAGAAGACGAAGAGGCGAAGAAGAGGGCCGAUGAUGAGGCCAAGAAGAAGAAAGUGCUCUCCAACAUGGGGGCUCACUUUGGAGGCUUCCUGGCUAAGGCAGAGCAGAGGCGAGGCAAAAAGCAAACUGCGAGGGAAAUCAAGAAGAAGACUCUGGCAGAGAGACGCAAGCCAUUGGCCAUUGAGACCCUGAGAGAGGACGGCCUGAGGAAGUAAACCUCAAGACAAAGUUUUUUUUACCUACGUUCUAAAGCCCAGUUCAGACCAAAGAUUUGCGAUGAGUUGAGUUGAAACAGGUGACUACUUGCAAUGUGCCGCUGUCCAUUCUAAAAACCUGCCAGUUCACACCAAUGCAACUCGAUGAGAUGGUGUAUCAUCUCUGUGCAACAACUCUCUGUACCACCGUUCUGAUUUCCAGCUUUUCAGGCGUAUUUUGUGGCUUAAUAUAAUUUGUAAUCUCUUCAAAUAUGAAUGAGGAUAGUGACAGUGAGACACGGGCUACAGUUGCAUUUGUAGAAGUGAUGAAACGGCAUGUGUCUUAGAAUAACAUGUAUACAUUUUGAAAAAGGGUGUAGUUCCCCUUUCAGACUUUAGGUGGGGUAUUUUUCUGUCACCUCAAGUUGUCAAUGCUGCUGUGUUUUUAGAGAGAGAGCCAAGGAGAUGUGGGAAUGUAUCUACGAGCUGGAGUCAGAGAAAUUUGACCUGACUGAGAAAAUGAGGAGACAGAAGUAUGAGAUCAAUGUUCUCCUGAACAGAAUCACACAUGCUCAGAAAUU
RNA transcript from Epinephelus moara (kelp grouper), 1103 nucleotides. It is a transcript of the gene named troponin T, slow skeletal muscle-like, with no coding region annotated. The record is from RefSeq and is a predicted model, not a curated record. Lineage: Eukaryota; Metazoa; Chordata; Actinopteri; Perciformes; Serranidae. The transcript has 7 exons.